RNAcentral lists this long non-coding RNA (225 nucleotides) under Sorghum bicolor (sorghum). Its description in RNAcentral is "long non-coding RNA (SBIC_LNC005680)". Lineage: Eukaryota; Viridiplantae; Streptophyta; Magnoliopsida; Poales; Poaceae. The record is from RNAcentral.
UGCGCGGGAUGGGCCUCGGGGACUGCGGGAGUUUGUGGGGCUGCUGCGCACGGUGGUGGUGCGGGUGAGAUGGGGAGGUGGAGGACGACGACGACGACGAGGUGGAAGAGGAAGGGGAGUUGGGGUCCCGCUGAUGAGGCAUGGGGAGGAGUUGCUUGGUGGAAACCUCCAUUGGAGUGUGUGGGUUUUGGCGUUGGUGGGGGAGAGAAGAGGGCCGGGGAGGUG